RNAcentral lists this ribosomal RNA (492 nucleotides) under uncultured bacterium. RNAcentral's name for it is "partial 16S ribosomal RNA". It matches the Rfam family "Bacterial small subunit ribosomal RNA", at positions 28 to 507 of the family's 1533-position model. The record is from RNAcentral.
GACGAACGCUGGCGGCGUGCUUAACACAUGCAAGUCGAACGGUGAAGCGCCUUCCUUUUUGGUGGGUGAGGAUGAGUGGCGAACGGGUGAGUAACACGUGAGUAACCUGCCCCCUUCUUCUGGAUAACCGCAUGAAAGUGUGGCUAAUACGGGAUAUUCUGGGUCUGUCGCAUGAUGGUUUGGGAAAGCUAUUGUUUCGGUGGGGGAUGGGCCCGCGGCCUAUUAGCUUGUUGGUGGGGUGAAGGCCCACCAAGGCGGUGAUGGGUAGCCGGCCUGAGAGGUGGGCAGGUUGGACUGGAACUAGGGCCCGGCCAAAACUCGGAGGGAGGGGUGCGGUGGGGAAUGUGGCGGAAGGGAGGCAGGCCGAGUAAGGCGACGCGCGGGAAGGAGGGGUGCCCUUCGGGUUGGGAACUUCUUUGGCAAGGAAGGCGGGCCGGCUUGGUUGGUGGUUGGGUGAAGGGAACUGGAUAAGAAGCGCCGGCUAACUACGUG